RNAcentral lists this ribosomal RNA (245 nucleotides) under Sclerophrys blanfordii. RNAcentral's name for it is "partial 12S ribosomal RNA". The record is from RNAcentral. Lineage: Eukaryota; Metazoa; Chordata; Amphibia; Anura; Bufonidae.
UCACCACUUCUAGUUUAUCAGCCUGUAUACCUCCGUCGUCAGCUUACCACGUGAGCGUCAACUAGUGAGCCUAAUGUUAUUUUACCCACACGUCAGGUCAAGGUGCAGCAAAUGAAGUGGGAAGAGAUGGGCUACACUUUCUACUAUAGAAAAAACGAAAAACUACCUAUGAAACCUAGUUAGAAGGCGGAUUUAGCAGUAAAAAGGAAUCAGCAUGUCCUUUUUAACCCGGCACUGGGGUGUGU